AUACGGAGGGUGCGAGCGUUAAUCGGAAUUACUGGGCGUAAAGCGUGCGUAGGCGGUUGAUUUAGUCAGAUGUGAAAGCCCCGGGCUCAACCUGGGAACUGCAUUUGAAACUGGUCAACUGGAGUAUGGUAGAGGGGGGUAGAAUUUCUGGUGUAGCGGUGAAAUGCGUAGAUAUCAGAAGGAAUACCGAUGGCGAAGGCAGCCCCCUGGACCAAUACUGACGCUGAGGUACGAAAGCGUGGGGAGCAAACAGGAUUAGAAACCCCAGUAGUCC
RNAcentral lists this ribosomal RNA (274 nucleotides) under uncultured bacterium. RNAcentral describes it as "partial 16S ribosomal RNA". It matches the Rfam family "Bacterial small subunit ribosomal RNA", at positions 523 to 796 of the family's 1533-position model. The record is from RNAcentral.